RNAcentral lists this small nucleolar RNA (130 nucleotides) under Nipponia nippon (crested ibis). RNAcentral describes it as "Small Cajal body specific RNA 4". It matches the Rfam family "Small Cajal body specific RNA 4". Rfam says of the family: scaRNAs are a specific class of small nuclear RNAs which localise to the Cajal bodies and guide the modification of RNA polymerase II transcribed spliceosomal RNAs U1, U2, U4, U5 and U12. ACA26 belongs to the H/ACA box class of guide RNAs as it has the predicted hairpin-hinge-hairpin-tail structure, conserved H/ACA-box motifs and is found associated with GAR1. Lineage: Eukaryota; Metazoa; Chordata; Aves; Pelecaniformes; Threskiornithidae. The record is from Rfam by way of RNAcentral.
ACUGGAGGAGUAAUCAGACUGAGUCUGAAGAGUUGAGACUCAGAUGACAGUAGCCUCCUAAAAGAAAAGGGAUGGAGAGAGCAGUCCUGCUUACAGGAAAGCGAAGGGCUGACUGUGCCAUCCGACACUU